GAUGAACGCUGGCGGCGUGCCUAAUACAUGCAAGUCGAGCGAACAGACGAGGAGCUUGCUCCUCUGACGUUAGCGGCGGACGGGUGAGUAACACGUGGAUAACCUACCUAUAAGACUGGGAUAACUUCGGGAAACCGGAGCUAAUACCGGAUAAUAUAUUGAACCGCAUGGUUCAAUAGUGAAAGACGGUUUUGCUGUCACUUAUAGAUGGAUCCGCGCCGCAUUAGCUAGUUGGUAAGGUAACGGCUUACCAAGGCAACGAUGCGUAGCCGACCUGAGAGGGUGAUCGGCCACACUGGAACUGAGACACGGGCCAGACUCCUAAGGGAGGCAGCAGUAGGGAAUCUUCCGCAAUGGGCGAAAGCUUGACGGAGCAACGCCGCGUGAGGGAUGAAGGUCUUCGGAUCGUAAAACUCUGUUAUUAGGGAAGAACAAAUGUGUAAGUAACUAUGCACGUCUUGACGGUACCUAAUCAGAAAGCCACGGCUAACUACGUG
RNAcentral lists this ribosomal RNA (497 nucleotides) under uncultured bacterium. Its description in RNAcentral is "partial 16S ribosomal RNA". It matches the Rfam family "Bacterial small subunit ribosomal RNA", at positions 28 to 507 of the family's 1533-position model. The record is from RNAcentral.